This 253-nucleotide ribosomal RNA is filed under the name uncultured bacterium. RNAcentral's name for it is "partial 16S ribosomal RNA". It matches the Rfam family "Bacterial small subunit ribosomal RNA", at positions 524 to 776 of the family's 1533-position model. The record is from RNAcentral.
UACGAAGGGGGCUAGCGUUGUUCGGAAUUACUGGGCGUAAAGCGCACGUAGGCGGAUUGUUAAGUUAGAGGUGAAAUCCCGGAGCUCAACUUCGGAACUGCCUUUGAUACUGGCAAUCUAGAGUCCGGAAGAGGUUAGUGGAAUUCCCAGUGUAGAGGUGAAAUUCGUAGAUAUUGGGAAGAACACCAGUGGCGAAGGCGGCUAACUGGUCCGGUACUGACGCUGAGGUGCGAAAGCGUGGGGAGCAAACAGG